This 869-nucleotide ribosomal RNA is filed under the name uncultured bacterium. Its description in RNAcentral is "bacterial SSU rRNA". It matches the Rfam family "Bacterial small subunit ribosomal RNA", at positions 54 to 914 of the family's 1533-position model. The record is from RNAcentral.
CAUGCAAGUCGAGGGGAAACGACAUCGAAAGCUUGCUUUUGAUGGGCGUCGACCGGCGCACGGGUGAGUAACGCGUAUCCAACCUGCCCACCACUUGGGGAUAACCUUGCGAAAGUAAGACUAAUACCCAAUGACGUCUCCAGAAGACAUCUGAAGGAGAUUAAAGAUUUAUCGGUGAUGGAUGGGGAUGCGUCUGAUUAGCUUGUUGGCGGGGUAACGGCCCACCAAGGCGACGAUCAGUAGGGGUUCUGAGAGGAAGGUCCCCCACAUUGGAACUGAGACACGGUCCAAACUCCUACGGGAGGCAGCAGUGAGGAAUAUUGGUCAAUGGACGAGAGUCUGAACCAGCCAAGUAGCGUGCAGGAUGACGGCCCUAUGGGUUGUAAACUGCUUUUAUAAGGGAAUAAAGUGAGAGUCGUGACUCUUUUUGCAUGUACCUUAUGAAUAAGGACCGGCUAAUUCCGUGCCAGCAGCCGCGGUAAUACGGAAGGUCCGGGCGUUAUCCGGAUUUAUUGGGUUUAAAGGGAGCGUAGGCCGGAGAUUAAGCGUGUUGUGAAAUGUAGAUGCUCAACAUCUGAACUGCAGCGCGAACUGGUUUCCUUGAGUACGCACAAAGUGGGCGGAAUUCGUGGUGUAGCGGUGAAAUGCUUAGAUAUCACGAAGAACUCCGAUUGCGAAGGCAGCUCACUGGAGCGCAACUGACGCUGAAGCUCGAAAGUGCGGGUAUCGAACAGGAUUAGAUACCCUGGUAGUCCGCACGGUAAACGAUGGAUGCCCGCUGUUGGUCUGAAUAGGUCAGCGGCCAAGCGAAAGCAUUAAGCAUCCCACCUGGGGAGUACGCCGGCAACGGUGAAACUCAAGGAAUUGAC